UACAGAGGGGGCAAGCGUUGUUCGGAAUUACUGGGCGUAAAGGGCGCGUAGGCGGCCUUCUAAGUCGAACGUGAAAUCCCCAGGCUCAACCUGGGAACUGCGUCUGAUACUGGAUGGCUUGAAUCCGGGAGAGGGAUGCAGAAUUCCAGGUGUAGCGGUGAAAUGCGUAGAUAUCUGGAGGAAUACCGGUGGCGAAGGCGGCAUCCUGGACCGGCAUUGACGCUGAGGAGCGAAAGCCAGGGGAGCAAACGGG
Molecule: ribosomal RNA, 253 nt
Filed under: uncultured bacterium
Lineage: Bacteria
Description: partial 16S ribosomal RNA
Rfam family: Bacterial small subunit ribosomal RNA
Source: RNAcentral